UAAUAUUAUCCCUUUAGUUUUCUAAGUGAUAAUAAUUUGCCGUAUAACCGGCUGUUCCUAGCACAAGUAGCAAAGGAUUUGAUUAUUGAUAUCCGAGAUCAUAAAUUUGAAUUCUAGUUAGAUUUACAUCUCCAACUAAAUUUAUUUCUAAAUGAAAUAUACGAAGUGGUUAACAUACUAUCUUUCUCUCUUAAAAAAAAAAAAUUGCCACAUAAUUUUACUAGUUUUCAAAAAAAUGAAAAUAAUACAUCUCU
RNAcentral lists this long non-coding RNA (254 nucleotides) under Ananas comosus (pineapple). RNAcentral describes it as "long non-coding RNA (ACOM_LNC000134)". The record is from RNAcentral. Lineage: Eukaryota; Viridiplantae; Streptophyta; Magnoliopsida; Poales; Bromeliaceae.